GUUUUCUGGAGCCGAGAAAACCUGAGUUUUUGCGCUUAGGUUACUUUUAUCUGGCUGAAACUUUACCUAUAAGCUUUUGAGGCUCAAACACGGAGUCUUUGUUCUGCAUGGGACUGCCGCUGCCACUUAAAGAGAUCGCAGAUAAUGUCCCCGAUUUAAGAUCAGUGCUCAAUGCACAUUAACUUUCUUUCUUUCUUUCUUUUUUAAGCUCUGCCUCUAACCUACGGAGGGAUCACGCGGCAGUGGGGGGCAGAUAAAAGUCCUUUGGCCGAGGGUCACCUCCGUCCUUGUUGUUCACUUGAGAGCAGUGGAGAGGAAAACGGUCCCCACGGGCGGACUUUGGCUUCUGGAGCCGCGGAGCCCAGCGGUCCGGGCCUCCCCGAGCUCCGCCUGGUCCAAGAGUGACUUGGGAGAGCUGGCUCCAGGAGGCGGACCUCGGCCUAGUUUGCUGGCUGGAAUAGAACUCUAUUUCGAGGCAAUCAAUCAAUCUGCAGAAAACAAAAAUGGAAGUCGAGGUUUGGGAAGAGUUGUCUCAUCCCCAACUUGAGUGGUGCGGGCUGGGGGCGGAGACUCGGGACUGAUGAGAAGCCCUUUUUCCCACCUCAGCUCCUUUCCCUGGACUUCCAGAAGGAAGAAUUACCCUCUUCAGCCCCCUUGUUCCCCAUACUCAUCCCCGCGUGGCCGCCGACACUUUUCCGCCCCUCUUUUUCCUUUCAAGCGAGAAAAGCCUAAUUCCCGAGCCAGUGGAGUCGGUCCUCUCGCCCCUCCCGCUCCCACGCGGGUCCCCCUCUCUUCAGCCAUCGCUACUGCCACCACCUCGGUUCCACUCAAUCGAUUUUUGCUGCAUGUCAACACUUAUUACCGAGGGCUUGGGUGAUUGGAAACAAGUUUGACAAGAAAGGAAUCUGGGUGAGGUGCCACCGUGGAAGUGGAGAGAAGAUGAGGCCAUAGAGGCUGGAGCAGCUGCCAAGCCAAGACUCUGCUGGACUCUGUAGUCACGUGCAAUGCCUUGUCGAGGACAGAGGGUUCGGAAGAGCUGUUGCCAACACAACUUCAUGGAUGGGAGAAAGUUAUGUCUCUCUCUUUGCAUCCUUCUUCUUUAACUUCCCUUCAUUUCCUGCCAUCCCAUUUCUUCCUUUUCCGUGGGCCCUUCUUCACCUCAGGAGGCUCUCCCCAGAGUUUUGGCUGCUCCUGGAUUAUCCUCCUUUUGUCCCCUCUUUUGAACUAAGGCUUCCUAGUGUUUACUCUUCCAGAUAUGAAAAGUUGCUUUAUCCAGUCUACUUGUAAACCAUUUGUAUUCAUAAAUAUGGAGUGCUUGAGUGACCAGUAAAGGUGUCAGGACCGAUAAGUAAAGCAUGCAACAUUGGAAUAUGCUUUUUCACAGCAACAGAGGGACUGCGAACAUUCUUUUAAUAAGGCUAUGCUGGAAAUAGGAUGUCCAGGAGAGGUCAGUGAAUAGCGAACUUUUCAUCCCAGGCGGUGUUGCCCUUGGUAUUAUGACCACCAAAGUGGGACAUCUCAGUUCAGUUUACUGUUCUCAGUUUGGAAGUUCCUUUUGCCUGAAACUACCACUUACGCAUAUUGUCAAAAUUAUAUAUUCUAAAAGAACCCAGAUACAGUCCUGUGUAGAGUUUAUGUGCUAAUAUGAAUUCCUUUCUGCAUCUCUCCAAACAAAGCUACUUAUUUUUCUUGUGUUAUAUCCUAUUGUUGUUCACUCAGCAGUGUAUUAUGGUGAUUUCUGUUCCGUUCAUGGUUAGAAAACACCUUCAUUGUCAUCCUACAUUUCCAGAUUAGAAUUUAGUAGAAAGAUAUCUUCCUCCACAGAAGAGUUGCCCUAUUUCCAACCCUCAUUGAUUCCUUUUCCUUUCUAACUUCUUCCAACAUCUCUUUUAGAGAUAAUUCUACCCUCACGAUUCUUUCCUUUUUACUUUUAAAAUUUCAUUUCUGGGGACUCAGUGUUUCCAUAACUGAAAACUUUUUUUUUUUUUAAUCUAUAUUACUCCCUUGUCAGUUACCCUGUGGGAUGUUUUACCAUGAGUAAGAUUUUGGGAUCAUUUUCUUUUAAGUUUUUUUUGUUGGAGCCUGGAACCACACUUGCUAAGUAGUAGGUGUUCAAUAAAUGCCUAUUGAUCAAAUGGUAUAAUUAAAAA
Long non-coding RNA from Neogale vison (American mink), 2150 nucleotides. Lineage: Eukaryota; Metazoa; Chordata; Mammalia; Carnivora; Mustelidae. The record is from Ensembl.